GUCCUGUAGGUAAAAUGCUGGUUAUUUUGACAUUUAACUCAAGAGGCACAUGCUGCUUGUUAAUGCAAGUUUCUCCUAUCACUACCCAACCCAGUUUCAAUUGUUGUGCAUAUGGAGUUCUGGAUGGUCCUUUGCGCUGGUCAAGCACAUGGUGUGCUUCUAUAAGGUCUCUGCCAAUUAAGAGAAGAAUUUGGCAAUUUUCAUCUAUUGGUGGAAUGCUACCCUUAAGUUCUUUUAAAUGAGGGUGAUGCAUUGUUACUUCAGGAGUAGGUAUUUCGUCCCUAUUAUUGGGAAUAUGAUCACAUUCAAUCAGUA
Molecule: long non-coding RNA, 315 nt
Filed under: Mytilus galloprovincialis (Mediterranean mussel)
Lineage: Eukaryota; Metazoa; Mollusca; Bivalvia; Mytilida; Mytilidae
Source: RNAcentral